GUGGGGAAUCUUCCACAAUGGACGAAAGUCUGAUGGAGCAACGCCGCGUGAGUGAAGAAGGGUUUCGGCUCGUAAAGCUCUGUUGUCGGGGACGAAUGUGCAGUAUUUGAAUAAAGUACUGCAAUGACGGUACCUGACGAGGAAGCCACGGCUAACUACGUGCCAGCAGCCGCGGUAAUACGUAGGUGGCAAGCGUUGUCCGGAAUUAUUGGGCGUAAAGGGAGCGCAGGCGGGAAGGUAAGUCGGUCUUAAAAGUGCGGGGCUCAACCCCGUGAUGGGAUCGAAACUAUCUUUCUUGAGUGCAGGAGAGGAAAGUGGAAUUCCUAGUGUAGCGGUGAAAUGCGUAGAUAUUAGGAGGAACACCAGUGGCGAAGGCGACUUUCUGGACUGUAACUGACGCUGAGGCUCGAAAGCCAGGGGAGCGAACGGGAUUAGAUACCCGGGUAGUCC
RNAcentral lists this ribosomal RNA (450 nucleotides) under uncultured bacterium. RNAcentral describes it as "partial 16S ribosomal RNA". It matches the Rfam family "Bacterial small subunit ribosomal RNA", at positions 354 to 796 of the family's 1533-position model. The record is from RNAcentral.